AGAUUGAACGCUGGCGGCAUGCCCAACACAUGCAAGUCGAACGGGAGUAGCAAUACUCUAGUGGCGGACGGGUGAGGAAUACGUAGGAAUUUGCCCUUAAGUGGGGGAUAACCCGGGGAAACCCGGAUUAAUACCGCAUGACCUCGAAAGAGCAAAGUGGGGGAUCGCAAGACCUCACGCUUUUGGAGAAGCCUACGUCGGAUUAGCUAGUUGGUGAGGUAAUGGCUCACCAAGGCGACGAUCCGUAACUGGUCUGAGAGGAUGACCAGUCACACCGGAACUGAGACACGGUCCGGACUCCUACGAGAGGCAGCAGUGGGGAAUAUUGGACAAUGGGCGCAAGCCUGAUCCAGCAAUGCCGCGUGUGCGAAGAAGGCCUUCGGUUGUAAAGCACUUAAGUUAGGGAAGGAAAAACUACGACGUACUAAC
RNAcentral lists this ribosomal RNA (429 nucleotides) under uncultured soil bacterium. RNAcentral describes it as "bacterial SSU rRNA". It matches the Rfam family "Bacterial small subunit ribosomal RNA", at positions 26 to 473 of the family's 1533-position model. The record is from RNAcentral.